AUGGCAAAGUCAGUUCCAAUGAAUGGGAAACAUUUCACGAAAUCGAUAACAGGUUCAAUGCCAAUGAACGGUGGAAGUGGUACUUACAGCUACUCCAAGAACUCCUACUUCCAGAGAAAAGCUGCAGAGAUUGAAAGGGAGAAGAUCAUGGAGGUGAUUGCUGAGAAGCUUGAUAUGAAGAACCUCUCCUCAGUUUCAAACACCAUUCGCGUUGCAGACUUGGGAUGUUCAACCGGACCAAACACUUUCGUGACAAUGCAAAACAUACUAGAAGCCAUGCAACAAAAGUACCGAUCCCAAUGUAAUGCUCAUGAUGAUCAUCAAACAAUGCCUGAAUUUCAAGUGUUCUUCAACGACCUAGUGUUGAAUGACUUCAAUACCUUGUUUACCUCUCUUCCCAAAGACAAACAAUACUUUGCAGCAGGCGUACCAGGGUCUUUCCACGGCCGUCUGUUUCCGGAGUCCUCUAUCCACCUUGUGCACACCUCACAUUCCCUCCACUGGCUCUCUGAGUUGCCAGAAGAGUUGCAAGACAAGGACUCUCCAGCAUGGAACAAAGGGAGGAUUCACUACACAAGUGCCCCUAAUGAAGUGGUUGAUGCUUACAUGUCCCAGUUUGCUAAGGAAAUGGACAACUUUCUCGAAGCCAGGGCUAAAGAACUUGUGCCUGGAGGAAUGAUGGUGAUGAUCUUGACUGGAACUAUUAAAGGCAGGCCUCAUUCGGAAACCGCACCUGGCAUGAUGUACAAUGCAAUAUCAUCCAGCCUCAUGGAUAUGGAAAAAGAGGGAUUGAUUGAUGAAGGUCAAGUGGAUACGUUCAACCUGCCUCUCUACGCUGCUUCACUAGAGGAGUUGGAGGGGCUUGUGGUUAAAAAUGGGUGCUUUAGCAUCGAGAAGAUGGAAUUUUCAGACCCAGCAACAUGGUUGAAAGGUCCGCUUGACAUAACGCAAUGGGUGAUGCAUAUACGAGCUGUAAUGGAAUGCAUGUUCGCCACACACUUUGGAAGUCAUGAGAUUGGAAAUUUCUCUGUGAAGCUGACGAAUUAUGGUGCCAUUGUGCUCUAUGUUGUUCUCCCUGAUAAGAAUGGGAAAUUUAAUGACGUUGUUCUUGGGUUUGAAUCCCUCAAAGAUUACACUAAUAAUUCUGUCUACUUUGGGGCCACCGUUGGGCGUGUUGCUAAUAGAAUUGGUAGGGCUGAAUUCACUUUGGACGGUCACCACUAUAAGUUGGUUGCUAAUGAUCAUGGAAAGAAGUCAAAGAACACUCCAUGGUGGCUCUAAAGGGUUCAGUGAUGUUUUAUGUACAGUGAAGCGUCACAUUGAAGAUAGUCACAUAACAUUCACCGAUGACAGUCGGGAUGGUGAAGAAGGCUCCCCUGGUGAUCUUUCAGUCUCAGUACAUAUACGUUUGCCUCUCACACAAAAUCCACAUUUUCGGUUCCAACAUCAGUCGGGAACGGCAUAUGAUUUCCUUGAGCCCCGAGAGAUCGGUAGCAGGAUCAAUGAGCUGCCUGAUGGUUAGGACAUCAACUACAUAUGGACCCUUCCAGCCAUGAGCACUUGAGGAAGGCUGCAGUGCUGCAUGACAGUGUUUCGGGCGAAAAUUGGAGCUGUGGACUAACCAGCCAGGGCUGCCAUUCUACACUAGUAACAUGCUGGAUGAUGUGAAAGGGAAAGGUGGAUUUAUGUACAAAAAGUAUGCUGUAGUGUGCUUGAAGACGCAGCAUUUCCAAGAUUCCGUGAAUAAUCCAAAUUUCCUUUCACAAAGUUUGAAUCCAGGAGACACUUACAUGCAUUCUAUGGUGUAUAUGUUCACAGCUAACUAG
Molecule: RNA transcript, 1826 nt
Organism: Fragaria vesca subsp. vesca
Lineage: Eukaryota; Viridiplantae; Streptophyta; Magnoliopsida; Rosales; Rosaceae
Gene name: probable S-adenosylmethionine-dependent methyltransferase At5g38100-like
Exons: 4
Source: RefSeq, a predicted model, not a curated record